UAGGGAAUCUUCCACAAUGGACGCAAGUCUGAUGGAGCAACGCCGCGUGAGUGAAGAAGGUCUUCGGAUCGUAAAACUCUGUUGUUAGAGAAGAACACGAGUGAGAGUAACUGUUCAUUCGAUGACGGUAUCUAACCAGCAAAGUCACGGCUAACUACGUGCCAG
RNAcentral lists this ribosomal RNA (165 nucleotides) under uncultured bacterium. Its description in RNAcentral is "partial 16S rRNA". It matches the Rfam family "Bacterial small subunit ribosomal RNA", at positions 355 to 511 of the family's 1533-position model. The record is from RNAcentral.